AAAUUGAAGAGUUUGAUCAUGGCUCAGAUUGAACGCUGGCGGCAGGCCUAACACAUGCAAGUCGAACGGUAACAGGAAGCAGCUUGCUGCUUUGCUGACGAGUGGCGGACGGGUGAGUAAUGUCUGGGAAACUGCCUGAUGGAGGGGGAUAACUACUGGAAACGGUAGCUAAUACCGCAUAACGUCGCAAGACCAAAGAGGGGGACCUUCGGGCCUCUUGCCAUCGGAUGUGCCCAGAUGGGAUUAGCUUGUUGGUGGGGUAACGGCUCACCAAGGCGACGAUCUCUAGCUGGUCUGAGAGGAUGACCAGCCACACUGGAACUGAGACACGGUCCAGACUCCUACGGGAGGCAGCAGUGGGGAAUAUUGCACAAUGGGCGCAAGCCUGAUGCAGCCAUGCCGCGUGUAUGAAGAAGGCCUUCGGGUUGUAAAGUACUUUCAGCGGGGAGGAAGGGAGUAAAGUUAAUACCUUU
Molecule: ribosomal RNA, 473 nt
Filed under: Escherichia coli
Lineage: Bacteria; Pseudomonadati; Pseudomonadota; Gammaproteobacteria; Enterobacterales; Enterobacteriaceae
Description: bacterial SSU rRNA
Rfam family: Bacterial small subunit ribosomal RNA
Source: RNAcentral